AAUUCCAGCUCCCCGAGUGGUUAGGAUGUUUAUUGGGCCUAAAGCAUCCGUAGCCGGUCUUGUAGGUCUUCUGUUAAAUCCACCAGCUCAACUGUUGGGCCGCAGAAGAUACCGCAGGACUAGGAGGCGGGAGAGGUGGACGGUACUUUAUGGGUAGGGGUAAAAUCUUUUGAUCCAUAGAAGACCACCAGUGGCGAAGGCGGUCCACCAGAACGCGCUCGACGGUGAGGGAUGAAAGCUGGGGGAGCGAACCGGAUUAGAUACCCGGGUAGUCCCAGCUGUAAACGAUGCGAGCUAGGUGAUGGGGUGGCUGCGAGCCAUCCCAGUGCCCCAGGGAAGCCGUUAAGCUCGCCGCCUGGGAAGUACGACCGCAAGGUUGAAACUUAAAGGAAUUGGCGAGGGAGCACCACAAGGGGUGAAGCCUGCGGUUCAAUUGGAGUCAACGCCGGGAACCUUACCGGGGGAGACAGCAGGAUGAAAGUCAGGCUGAAGACUUUACUAGACAAGCUGAGAGGAGGCGCAUGGCCGUCGCCAGCUCGUGCCGUGAGGCGUCCUGUUAAGUCAGGUAACGAGCGAGACCCUUGCCGCUAAUUGCUACCUUCAUCCGAAAGAAUGAGGGGGCUAGUUAACGGGACUGCUGCCGCUAAGGCGGAGGAAGGAAGGGGCCACGGCAGGUCAGUAUGCCCCGAAACCCUCGGGCCACACGCGGGCUGCAAUGGUAGGUACAAUGGGCUCCGACCUCGAAAGAGGAAAGCAAUCCUCAAACCCUACCCCAGUUGUGAUUGAGGGCUGCAACCCGCCCUCAUGAAUAUGGAAUCCCUAGUAAUCGCGUGUCAUCACCGCGCGGUGAAUACGUCCCUGCUCCUUGCACACACCGCCCGUCGCUUCACCCGAGUUAAGUUUAGGCGAGGUGGCGCCAAAUUGACGUCGUCGAACCUAGGCUUGACAAGGGGGGAGAAGUCGUAACAAGGUAACC
Molecule: ribosomal RNA, 976 nt
Filed under: uncultured crenarchaeote
Lineage: Archaea; Thermoproteati; Thermoproteota
Description: bacterial SSU rRNA
Rfam family: Archaeal small subunit ribosomal RNA
Source: RNAcentral